RNAcentral lists this ribosomal RNA (253 nucleotides) under uncultured bacterium. RNAcentral describes it as "partial 16S ribosomal RNA". It matches the Rfam family "Bacterial small subunit ribosomal RNA", at positions 524 to 776 of the family's 1533-position model. The record is from RNAcentral.
UACGUAGGGCGCAAGCGUUGUCCGGAAUUACUGGGCGUAAAGCGUGCGCAGGCGGUUCGUUAAGUCAGAUGUGAAAGCCCCGGGCUCAACCUGGGAACUGCAUUUGAAACUGGCGGGCUUGAGUGUGGCAGAGGGGGGUGGAAUUCCGCGUGUAGCAGUGAAAUGCGUAGAGAUGCGGAGGAACACCGAUGGCGAAGGCAGCCCCCUGGGCCAACACUGACGCUCAGGCACGAAAGCGUGGGGAGCAAACAGG